GUAAUUUACGGUGAACAAUAAAACUACUAGUAUUUAGAAUUUGAAUAGUGACGGUAGAAUUGUAAAAUAAGCAUUGCAGAAUAAAAGUGCAGUAAAGUGUAGCUAUAGUUCAUGUGUUAUGUGGGAUAAAUGCGGUUUUCAUAGAAUAAGCGGUACAAAACAAUGUUAGGAGAAAAAUAUUUUGUUGUUUUGCUAGUUAAAUAUUAAAACUAAGAUGAUUUUUCAUUCAACUUUUUUUUAAAAAACAAGAUUUGGAAUUGAACCAUGUCACCGGUUUUAACGAGUUUGACUCAUUGUGAUUAAUUUUUUUGGCUUAACUCGAAUACAGUUAAUCAAUUUGUAUGAUUUAUAUAAUCAGUUCUUAUAAUUUCAAAUUCUAAAGGUAUUUUGUAUAUAAUGUUGACUAUUUUUUUUAUAAAUUUUCUAAAAUAAUCUUCAUUAUUUAUCAUUGUUAAUAUUUUUAAAAGUACAACUUUAUAAAACCGCAUUUAAAACAUUCAUACUGCACUAAAUACUAGUGGUUUUACUGUUCACCAUAAAUUACAAUUUUUCUUCACAAAAAUGUACUGUAUUGUUGUCGCAUUUUUGUCAGAAAAAAUGAAACAU
RNAcentral lists this long non-coding RNA (606 nucleotides) under Brassica napus (rape). RNAcentral describes it as "long non-coding RNA (BNAP_LNC010150)". Lineage: Eukaryota; Viridiplantae; Streptophyta; Magnoliopsida; Brassicales; Brassicaceae. The record is from RNAcentral.